Molecule: transfer RNA, 85 nt
Filed under: Felis catus (domestic cat)
Lineage: Eukaryota; Metazoa; Chordata; Mammalia; Carnivora; Felidae
Also listed under: 6 other names
Rfam family: tRNA
About the family: Transfer RNA (tRNA) molecules are approximately 80 nucleotides in length. Their secondary structure includes four short double-helical elements and three loops (D, anti-codon, and T loops).
Source: Rfam by way of RNAcentral
GCCUGGGUGGCUCAGUCGGUUGAGCAUCCGACUUCGGCUCAGGUCAUGAUCUCACGGUUCGUGGGUUCAAGCCCCGCAUCGGGCU